This is a long non-coding RNA of Poecilia reticulata (guppy), 3800 nucleotides long. RefSeq lists it as uncharacterized. The record is from RefSeq and is a predicted model, not a curated record. Lineage: Eukaryota; Metazoa; Chordata; Actinopteri; Cyprinodontiformes; Poeciliidae.
CCGGAGCAGCCAAUGCGGGGUCUACUCUAUAUUAUGUCUAUGGGGUGGCGGAGCGGAACCGGAAGAGGCUGCAACAACUGUGGAGGGCACUGGAGGGCCCGGUCAGAGAACCUGGUAAUCAGAUGAUCGCGCAGUUUCGCGCUUCGAAGGGGCGCAGGACACUGGACUAAUCCUGACGUCCUGGCCCCAAACAUGUCAGCGAGGCCCGGAUCCAGAGGGGUAACAGAGGGAAAACUCCGCUCCGUUAACCCUUCCACCCUGGUGAUAGCCACAUAAAUGGAGGCAGGCGUCCUCAGCUCCGCGGACUCAGCCGCUGCCUCAGUUAUGUAAGCCAUUACACACCGGAAACUGAGGCCAGAUUGGGUCUGGACGGCGACUCUAGGAGGAGCUAAACCGUCCUGCCAGGUCAUUCUAACUUGGCGGAGGAGGUUGGAGGACGGAAAGCCCCUUAGCGCUAGCCGGCUCCUUGAUCAAGCUAGGUAGCUCGAGGAGCGAGUCCACAGCUAGGAGCGGGGUUGAGUCGGACAUACGGAGCCCGGGGUUGACUGAGUAUCCGCUCAGCCGCCUACUUUCCACCGCGGUACUUCCUAGCUGGGAAGCAACAUCCGAAGCGCUGCUGCUCCUGCUGUCGUCCUCGUCGUUGUCGUCCUCUCUGCCAGUGGGAUUAUUCGAUAAACGCUCAGUGUAGCUAGCAUCUCCCAAGAGCAGCGACCGGACUAAGCUUUUUUCAGUGUUUCGCUGCACGCGAGGGAUAAACCGACUAGCGAUAGCCUGAAAGGGCGAAGCCUAUACAAAAUGGAACAACUCCCCACAAAGGCCUAAACCCCAGUUCCCACCAGACGAUCCUCCUUACUCUGCCAGGUUCUGCUGCCACGUCUCUCCCGCUGCUGAGAUCUGCUGUCAUCACUAUGUGGUCGUCUUUGUAGCUUUAUGUCUUUAUAUCUGGAGUUAAGGAUUCAGACUCAAGUAAACAGUUUUAUUGUGAUGCAUAUAUUUCCUAAGAUGUGACAUUUUGGUCAAAUACUUUUUAGGGAUCUUUUUUGCUUCUGCAGUGACAUCGCUAUUCACCUGCAGUGAAGAUGUUCAUUAAGAUCCACCUGUCCAUACAUUUCUGUAUCCACUAUCUCUCCUCCUUUCAUCCGCCCUCCACCAGGUAUCUGUAUUCAUGUAUUCCUGACUUUUUCAGUGCCAGAGCCGCAGUUCGUUUGAUCUCCACUGUAGCACCCGAGGGUCCCUGAACUCAACUCUUUGUUGUCUGACUCUUCCAACUGAGAUCACCGUCCCUCCACAAAGCCUCACCUCAUAUGUGUCAGCGUUGGUUCUGGACAGCAUGUUGGAUCUAUUAUUUAAACACGUCUACACAGCAGUGUGGCUGUAAAUAAUGAGCAUGUCUGAUGGACAGGUUGAGGGCUGAUGAUUAUACUGUACGUACCGAAGCAACCAGCUCACCUCCAUCUGCAGUGUCUCGGUAAACAGGACUCAACAAGCUUUGCUUUAAGCUCAGAUGUGACCAAAAAAAGAUUUGAUCAAAUCUCUUGUUUUGGGUCAAUGUGUUGGAGCAAGCAGUAAAAGAACAGUCAGUCAAAGGUCCAAAAUACAUUCGUUAUUUAAACCAACAAACAAACUUGGGUAAAUCAUACAAAAUUACAUUAUUGAGCCCAUAAAAUAGGUCAAAAUAACUGAAGUCCAGUCUUACAAACUGGCCUGCCUAAAUGAGACAAAAAGAAAACUUAAAUACUGACUGAUCAAAGUCACAAAAGGGGAAAACAAACAAAACCCUAAGAAAAUCUUGUCUCCAUGAUCCUAAGUUGACUCUAUCUGCAGGUUUCUCUACCUCUUUGUUCGCCUGAAGGGCUGCAGCAACUGGCACUGAGGUUAAGGUUUUCACAAAACAGAAAACUAAAUCAAGUCAAACAUGUAAAAGUGUAACUUUUAAUGUUACAGAGUUAUAUGAAGCUGUAAAUGGUCCCUUUGUAGACAACACAAAAGCCAGUUUACCAGCAAGCAUCAUGCCACAGAGAUGAAUUUGAGGAUUUAUUGAAGGAAUGGAAGGAAGAAGUGGAUGAGAUGAAUCAUCUGGCAAGAAACAUGAAUGGAGGUUUGGGUGAAGACUCAGCUAGAGGAUCUUGGAGAGGAAGGAGACGGAGACAACUAAAGUUACUUGGGUAGAUAAGCGACAACUUAUAGACACUUGAAGCAACGAGAAACAAGCAGCAGCUUGAAAGACGACAUGAAACUGAUGAUGCAGCGCUGAGUGAGAGACUGCAGCUCCUGAAGUCCUGAUGAGGCUGAUGGUUUCCAGCACAUUUCUGCAAUACUGUGAGCCAGAAGCUUGUCUGUUCGUUAGGUCAUCUGUGCUUAUUCAGACUGAUCGAUGUCUCCAGCUGCUCUUCUUCAAAAGGUGAUAUUCUGGGAUGGACCUCACAGACUUUAUUGCAAUUCUGGCCAACAAUACUGUUACUUAUUGAGAGAAACAGAACCACUGAUCUGAAUCCAAGUGGUGUUGCUCUGAAAUUUUCUCCAAUUAAUCAAAGAAUUAAAGCCCAAAUCCUACUGCUUGUGCAGCAUAUUAAGGAAAUAGUCGAUCACCCUCCCUGUUCUACUGACGCUGUACCUAAUGAGCAAGGAGAGAGGCCCCCCUCCAACACCUGCUCUCCUUUCCUCCUGUGGCUGUGAGGAAGGAGCAGCAGCUGAUCAACAGGAAGUCACUCAUUAUUGGUUGCAGAGAAAAGUUGCUUCUCUCAAAUCUGCCACUUGUCAGGAAAAUCACAGUAAUUAGUAAAGCAACAUUUUGACGGCUAACCAACUCAUUUUUACAUUUUCUCACUGUGGAGAUGCUGCUGCCUCUAAUGAUGACCCAAGUCUGACUGGAAAUAAGAAAACGUGUCAGGGCUCAUAAGCUAUGAAAUCUAAUUUGUGAUGGUAAAAUUCGUUCUGCAGUGUAAAGUUCAGCAUCAAAUCCUAAUAAAGUCAUAAUGAGACGGGUCCAGUGAACGGCGCCGAGCUCUGCUGAGUUUAACACAAACUUGACCUCUGAUUAUUUCUAAGGAGGUUCAUCUAAACUCAGUGAGCUGGAACUAAAUUUAGGAUCAGAAGCAACAACAAAUGCUUGGAAAAUAUGACCAAUUGUAUCAUUGGAUUAAUAACAAUGGAUCACCAAUGAAACAUCUGCUCUAUUUUUUUAUCCAUGCCUUAUUUUCAGCACUUCAAGUGUUGGGAUCCAGGGUGGUGUUUGUUUGGGUUUUGCUGCUUUCCCCCCUUUCUCCACCAGAGGGCGCCAAGGGGCCAUUCCUGGAGGGCGUGACCAGCGGGUGCCGGCUUACCUGCACACCUGCAAGUCAUUUGGUCAUCUGGAGGAGUAUAAGAGAUGGAAGCAGCCAACACUUCGGUGCCAGAGUGUUAGCCAGUUAUGGUGAAUCCUUGUGACGCUGUGGUUGUUUUCCGCCGGUAACCUGAGCCCUGGUUGUUUUCUGUGCAUUCAUCUCCUUGUGACGCUGUGGAUGUUGCCCACUGGUAGCCUGAGUCAAAUUACCUCCUUGCUGUUAACCAAACCUUCCUGGAUAUCUCUGUUGGCUGUCUCCUUCGCUCCUCUCCUCCGAAAGACAAAGAACUUACCUGUCUGCUCUCCAACGCUGUCCGUCCACCGGGCAAGCAGCAAACCUCCCUCUGUGAACUCCACCCUGGUAACCUCAGUAUUUCCCCCCAGACUCAGACCUCCUUCAACUCAAUGUUCCCGAAUCCAGUUGCCGUCAUCCCUUGGACCUGCAGUUUUGAUUGUUUUACUUUCAAUAAAUCAUUUU